GGAGGUACGGUUUAUGAUGGUUUUUUCUUUAAAAGUUAUAAUUUAAUAUAAUUUUUAAAAAUAAUUUAAAAAAUAAUUUUUUGGAUUUCAAAAUAAAAUUUUGAAAAAAUCAAAAAGUUUGAAUUGAAAAACAUAUUAUUCAAAAAAUAAUAAUUUUUUUACCUUUUUUUAUUCAAAUAAUUAUUUAUAUUUAUAUGUGUAGAAAGUAGGGGUAAAAAGAUCUUUUACCUCUUUAAUGAAAAUAGUUUGGUCAUUUUCUCCUUUCUGUGCUAUUUUGUUUAGAAAAAACUCAUUUGGUGUCUUUUAAGGGAAUUUUUAUUAUAUUUAUGUAUUUUUAAAUAUAAAAAAACAUUUAAGUGGUGAACAUGUAAUUUCCCCAAAACUUUGUUGGUGUUUUACGUUAACAACUUUGAUUUAGAUGAUAAAUCUUCAAUUUAAUUGCUAACUUUAUAAUGUACUGUUAUAUUUUAAGUAAUGCAAUUUUAGAUUUCUCUUAAACAAAUAACAUUUAUAUUUCAGUUUUUUUUAGUUCAUAAAUUUAAUAACUGCUUUGUUUGUUUAAACUUCACAAAUCCCAAUAAUAAACCAAAAUAAAAUAUAUGAUACUGUAAAUAAAAUAACAAUACGAUCAAUAAAAACAAGCUACAUCAAAUUAAAAUCAAAUAAGAAUUUUAAAAACAAAUAUCAUGACAAAGUUGAAUAUUUUGUAAAGUAAAAUAUGUUAAAACAUCACAACCCACUAACUCAAAAAUACAUGC
RNAcentral lists this long non-coding RNA (758 nucleotides) under Brassica napus (rape). RNAcentral describes it as "long non-coding RNA (BNAP_LNC004271)". Lineage: Eukaryota; Viridiplantae; Streptophyta; Magnoliopsida; Brassicales; Brassicaceae. The record is from RNAcentral.